RNAcentral lists this ribosomal RNA (407 nucleotides) under uncultured bacterium. Its description in RNAcentral is "bacterial SSU rRNA". It matches the Rfam family "Bacterial small subunit ribosomal RNA", at positions 28 to 398 of the family's 1533-position model. The record is from RNAcentral.
GACGAACGCUGGCGGCGUGCCUAAUACAUGCAAGUCGAACGCACUCUCGUUUAGAUUGAAGGAGCUUGCUCCUGAUUGAUAAACAUUUGAGUGAGUGGCGGACGGGUGAGUAACACGUGGGUAACCUGCCCUAAAGUGGGGGAGUAACAUUUGGAAACAGAUGCUAAUACCGCAUAAACCUAACAACCGCAUGGUGUAGGGUUGAAAGAUGGUUUCGGCUAUCACUUUAGGAUGGACCCGCGGUGCAUUAGUUAGUUGGUGAGGUAAAGGCUCACCAAGACCGUGAUGCAUAGCCGACCUGAGAGGGUAAUCGGCCACACUGGGACUGAGACACGGCCCGAGACUCCUACGGGAGGCACGCAGUAGGGAAUCUUCCACAAUGGACGAAAGUCUGAUGGAGCAACGCC